CCUACGGGAGGCAGCAGUGGGGAAUAUUGCACAAUGGGGGAAACCCUGAUGCAGCGACGCCGCGUGAGUGAAGAAGUAACUCGUUAUGUAAAGCUCUAUCAGUAGGGAAGAAAAUGACGGUACCUGAGUAAGUAGCCCUGGCUAACUACGUGCCAGCAGCCGCGGUAAUACGUAGGGGGCCAGCGUUAUCCGGAUUUACUGGGCGUAAAGGGAGCGUAGGCGGCAGGGCAAGUUUGGAGUGAAAGGCGGGGGCUCAACCCCGGGACUGCUGUGGGAACUGUAGGGCUGGAGUGCGGGGAAGGUAGGUGGAAUUCGUAGUGUAGCGGUGAAAUGCGUAGAUAUGAGGAAGAACACCGGUGGCGAAGGCAGCUUGCUGGAGUGUAACUGACGUUGAGGCUCGAAAGCGUGGGGAGCGAACAGGAUUAGAUACCCCUGUAGUC
Molecule: ribosomal RNA, 440 nt
Filed under: uncultured bacterium
Lineage: Bacteria
Description: partial 16S ribosomal RNA
Rfam family: Bacterial small subunit ribosomal RNA
Source: RNAcentral